UUAAGUUAAUAAGGGCGCACGGUGGAUGCCUUGGCACUAGAAGCCGAUGAAGGACGUGACUAACGACGAAAUGCUUUGGGGAGUUGUAAGUAAACAUUGAUCCAGAGAUGUCCGAAUGGGGGAACCCGGCAUGUAAUGCAUGUCACUCAUUACUGUUAAGGUAAUGUAGAGGAAGACGCAGUGAACUGAAACAUCUAAGUAGCUGCAGGAAGAGAAAGCAAACGCGAUUACCUUAGUAGCGGCGAGCGAAAAGGUAAGAGGGCAAACCGAUGUGUUUACACAUCGGGGUUGUAGGACUGCGUUGUGGGACGACAAGAUUAUAGAAGAAUUACCUGGGAAGGUAAGCCAAAGAGAGUAACAGCCUCGUAUUCGAAAUAGUCUUUAACCCUAGCAGUAUCCUGAGUACGGCGAGACACGAGAAAUCUCGUCGGAAUCUGGGAGGACCAUCUCCUAACCCUAAAUACUCUCUAGUGACCGAUAGUGAACCAGUACCGUGAGGGAAAGGUGAAAAGCACCCCGGGAGGGGAGUGAAAUAGAACCUGAAACCGUGUGCCUACAACAAGUUCGAGCCCGUUAAUGGGUGAGAGCGUGCCUUUUGUAGAAUGAACCGGCGAGUUACGAUAUGAUGCGAGGUUAAGUUGAAGAGACGGAGCCGUAGGGAAACCGAGUCUUAAUAGGGCGACUUAGUAUCAUGUCGUAGACCCGAAACCAUGUGACCUACCCAUGAGCAGGGUGAAGGUGAGGUAAAACUCACUGGAGGCCCGAACCAGGGCACGUUGAAAAGUGCUUGGAUGACUUGUGGGUAGCGGAGAAAUUCCAAACGAACUUGGAGAUAGCUGGUUCUCUCCGAAAUAGCUUUAGGGCUAGCGUCGAUGUUAAGUCUCUUGGAGGUAGAGCACUGUUUGAUUGAGGGGUCCAUCCCGGAUUACCAAUAUCAGAUAAACUCCGAAUGCCAACGAGAUAUAAUCGGCAGUCAGACUGCGAGUGCUAAGAUCCGUAGUCGAAAGGGAAACAGCCCAGACCACCAGCUAAGGUCCCAAAAUAUAUGUUAAGUGGAAAAGGAUGUGGGGUUGCACAGACAACUAGGAUGUUAGCUUAGAAGCAGCUAUUCAUUCCAAAGAGUGCGUAAUAGCUCACUAGUCGAGUGACCCUGCGCCGAAAAUGUACCGGGGCUAAAACAUAUUACCGAAGCUGUGGAUACCUUUUAGGUAUGGUAGGAGAGCGUUCUAUGUGUGAUGAAGGUGUACCGUGAGGAGCGCUGGAACGCAUAGAAGUGAGAAUGCCGGUAUGAGUAGCGAAAGACAGGUGAGAAUCCUGUCCACCGUAUGACUAAGGUUUCCAGGGGAAGGCUCGUCCUCCCUGGGUUAGUCGGGACCUAAGGAGAGACCGAAAGGUGUAUCCGAUGGACAACAGGUUGAUAUUCCUGUACUAGAGUAUAUAGUGAUGGAGGGACGCAGUAGGCUAACUAAAGCGUGCGAUUGGAAGUGCACGUCUAAGCAGUGAGGUGUGAUAUGAGUCAAAUGCUUAUAUCUAUAACAUUGAGCUGUGAUGGGGAGCGAAGUUAAGUAGCGAAGUUAGUGAUGUCACACUGCCAAGAAAAGCUUCUAGCGUUAAUUAUACUCUACCCGUACCGCAAACCGACACAGGUAGUCGAGGCGAGUAGCCUCAGGUGAGCGAGAGAACUCUCGUUAAGGAACUCGGCAAAAUGGCCCCGUAACUUCGGGAGAAGGGGCGCUGGCUUUAAGUCAGCCGCAGUGAAUAGGCCCAAGCAACUGUUUAUCAAAAACACAGCUCUCUGCUAAAUCGUAAGAUGAUGUAUAGGGGGUGACGCCUGCCCGGUGCUGGAAGGUUAAGAGGAGCGCUUAGCAUUAGCGAAGGUGUGAAUUGAAGCCCCAGUAAACGGCGGCCGUAACUAUAACGGUCCUAAGGUAGCGAAAUUCCUUGUCGGGUAAGUUCCGACCCGCACGAAAGGCGUAAUGAUUUGGGCACUGUCUCAACGAGAGACUCGGUGAAAUUUUAGUACCUGUGAAGAUGCAGGUUACCCGCGACAGGACGGAAAGACCCCAUGGAGCUUUACUGCAGUUUGAUAUUGAGUAUCUGUACCACAUGUACAGGAUAGGUAGGAGCCUAUGAAAUCGGGACGCUAGUUUCGGUGGAGGCGUUGUUGGGAUACUACCCUUGUGUUAUGGCUACUCUAACCCAGAUAGGUUAUCCCUAUCGGAGACAGUGUCUGACGGGCAGUUUGACUGGGGCGGUCGCCUCCUAAAAGGUAACGGAGGCGCCCAAAGGUUCCCUCAGAAUGGUUGGAAAUCAUUCGCAGAGUGUAAAGGU
RNAcentral lists this ribosomal RNA (2331 nucleotides) under Streptococcus equinus. RNAcentral describes it as "bacterial LSU rRNA". It matches the Rfam family "Bacterial large subunit ribosomal RNA", at positions 3 to 2358 of the family's 2925-position model. Lineage: Bacteria; Bacillati; Bacillota; Bacilli; Lactobacillales; Streptococcaceae. The record is from RNAcentral.